This 776-nucleotide ribosomal RNA is filed under the name uncultured Neocallimastigales. RNAcentral describes it as "partial large subunit ribosomal RNA". It matches the Rfam family "Eukaryotic large subunit ribosomal RNA", at positions 23 to 647 of the family's 3401-position model. The record is from RNAcentral. Lineage: Eukaryota; Fungi; Neocallimastigomycota; Neocallimastigomycetes; Neocallimastigales.
AGAGAGAGACAUGCGCGCAUAUCAAUAAGCGGAGGAAAAGAAACUAACAAGGAUUCCCCUAGUAACGGCGAGUGAAGCGGGAAGAGCUCAAAUUUGAAAUCUUAAAGGGUUUCCCUUUACGAAUUGUAGUUUAAAGAAGUGUUUUCUGUUGAGGUUUUGGUAAAAGUUCUCUUGGAAUAGGACUAUCAUAGAGGGUGAGAAUCCCGUAUUUGACCUUUACUUUCAACUUUGUGAUACACUUUCAAAGAGUCGGAUUGUUUGGGAAUGCAGUCCAAAAUGGGUGGUAAAUUUCAUCUAAAGCUAAAUAUUGGCGAGAGACCGAUAGCGAACAAGUACCGUGAGGGAGAGAUGAAAAGAACUUUGAAAAGAGAGUUAAACAGUACGUGAAAUUGUCAAAAGGGAAGCGUUUGACACCAGUGUUGUUUUUCUGAAAAUCAAUUAAAGAACUGUUUAUGCUAAGCUGUUUAGACUUUAUCAGCUAACUGUUUAGUUUUGAGCUUUUCUUUAAUGCACUUUUCAGUUAACAAGUCAACAUCAAUUUCUUUUGCUGUAAAAAAGCUUGAGGAAGGUGGCUUGAGAUUCGUCUUAAGUGUUUAUAGCCUCUUGCCUAUGCAGUCGGAGAGAUUGAGGUCUGCAGCGUAGAUCCUUCGGGGCUAAAUGCAUUUGUGCUAAGUUAUAGCAUUUUAUAGACAACUUGUUGACUAUGAUUUGUCUUGUAGCUUACUCGCUUAUGUUAUUUUACCUACGCUUAGGAUGUUGACGCAUGAGAUAUACGC